UUUCCGUAGGUGAACCUGCGGAAGGAUCAUUCAUAAUAAAGUGUUUUAUGGCACUUUUUAAAAAUCCAUAUCCACCUCGUGUGCAAUGUUAGAUCUCGUCAAUCUUGGCGAGAUUUUUAUACAUCAACUCAUUCUUUAACUAAUUUGUCUGAAAAAUAUUAUGAAUACUUAAUUCAAGAUACAACUUUCAACAACGGAUCUCUUGGCUCUC
RNAcentral lists this unclassified non-coding RNA (211 nucleotides) under plant metagenome. RNAcentral's name for it is "partial contains small subunit ribosomal RNA, internal transcribed spacer 1, and 5.8S ribosomal RNA". The record is from RNAcentral.